Molecule: ribosomal RNA, 574 nt
Filed under: uncultured bacterium
Lineage: Bacteria
Description: partial 16S ribosomal RNA
Rfam family: Bacterial small subunit ribosomal RNA
Source: RNAcentral
UGGGGAAUAUUGCACAAUGGGCGCAAGCCUGAUGCAGCCAUGCCGCGUAUGUGAAGAAGGCCUUCGGGUUGUAAAGCACUUUCAGCGAGGAGGAAGGUGGUGAGCUUAAUACGCUCAUCAAUUGACGUUACUCGCAGAAGAAGCACCGGCUAACUCCGUGCCAGCAGCCGCGGUAAUACGGAGGGUGCAAGCGUUAAUCGGAAUUACUGGGCGUAAAGCGCACGCAGGCGGUUUGUUAAGUCAGAUGUGAAAUCCCCGGGCUCAACCUGGGAACUGCAUUUGAAACUGGCAAGCUAGAGUCUCGUAGAGGGGGGUAGAAUUCCAGGUGUAGCGGUGAAAUGCGUAGAGAUCUGGAGGAAUACCGGUGGCGAAGGCGGCCCCCUGGACGAAGACUGACGCUCAGGUGCGAAAGCGUGGGGCAGCAAACAGGAUUAGAUACCCUGGUAGUCCACGCUGUAAACGAUGUCGAUUUGGAGGUUGUGCCCUUGAGGCGUGGCUUCCGGAGCUAACGCGUUAAAUCGACCGCCUGGGGAGUACGGCCGCAAGGUUAAAACUCAAAGGAAUUGACGGGGUC